RNAcentral lists this ribosomal RNA (424 nucleotides) under uncultured bacterium. RNAcentral's name for it is "bacterial SSU rRNA". It matches the Rfam family "Bacterial small subunit ribosomal RNA", at positions 355 to 776 of the family's 1533-position model. The record is from RNAcentral.
UGAGGAAUAUUGGACAAUGGAUGGAAAUCUGAUCCAGCCAUGCCGCGUGCAGGAAGAAUGUCCUAUGGAUUGUAAACUGCUUUUGUAUGGGAGCAAUAAGGUCUUCGUGAAGGCCGAUGAGAGUACCAUACGAAUAAGCACCGGCUAACUCCGUGCCAGCAGCCGCGGUAAUACGGAGGGUGCAAGCGUUAUCCGGAUUUAUUGGGUUUAAAGGGUGCGUAGGCGGUUAUAUAAGUCAGCGGUGAAAUUUUUCGGCUCAACCGGAAACAUGCCGUUGAUACUGUAUAGCUUGAAUAUGGUUGCUGUGAGUGGAAUGUGUAGUGUAGCGGUGAAAUGCUUAGAUAUUACACAGAAUAUCGAUUGCGAAGGCAACUCACAAAGCCAUUAUUGACGCUGAGGCACGAAAGUGUGGGGAUCAAACAGG